Molecule: ribosomal RNA, 253 nt
Filed under: uncultured bacterium
Lineage: Bacteria
Description: partial 16S ribosomal RNA
Rfam family: Bacterial small subunit ribosomal RNA
Source: RNAcentral
UACAGAGGUCCCAAGCGUUGUUCGGAUUCACUGGGCGUAAAGGGUGCGUAGGUGGCGGGGUCAGUCUGACGUGAAAUCUCCGGGCUUAACCCGGAAAUGGCGUUGGAAACUACCUUGCUUGAGGGUUGGAGGGGGGACUGGAAUACUUGGUGUAGCAGUGAAAUGCGUAGAUAUCAAGUGGAACACCAGUGGCGAAGGCGAGUCCCUGGACAACUCCUGACACUGAGGCACGAAAGCUAGGGGAGCAAACGGG